This 273-nucleotide long non-coding RNA is filed under the name Triticum aestivum (bread wheat). Its description in RNAcentral is "long non-coding RNA (TAES_LNC000653)". The record is from RNAcentral. Lineage: Eukaryota; Viridiplantae; Streptophyta; Magnoliopsida; Poales; Poaceae.
AUGGGUACCCACCCGGUGGCCAGGGGGGAUACCCUCCGGCAGGGUACCCGCCGCAGCAGGGAGGUUACCCUCCACAGCAAGGAGGUUACCCUCCACAGCAAGGAUACCCGCCUGCACCUGGAGCUUACCCACCUGCACCUGGGGCAUACCCUCCUGCACCUGGGGCGUACCCUCCUGCACCUGGAGCGGGAGGCCCUGACGGGGAGAAGGGGCUCCUCUCCAACAUCAUGCAUGGUGUUGCCGGUGCUCAUGGUGGUGGUCAUGGCUACCCAU